Molecule: transfer RNA, 84 nt
Filed under: Enterobacter hormaechei
Lineage: Bacteria; Pseudomonadati; Pseudomonadota; Gammaproteobacteria; Enterobacterales; Enterobacteriaceae
Description: tRNA-Tyr(gta)
Rfam family: tRNA
About the family: Transfer RNA (tRNA) molecules are approximately 80 nucleotides in length. Their secondary structure includes four short double-helical elements and three loops (D, anti-codon, and T loops).
Source: RNAcentral
GGUGGGGUUCCCGAGCGGCCAAAGGGAGCAGACUGUAAAUCUGCCGUCAUCGACUUCAAGGUUCGAAUCCUUCCCCCACCACCA